CAUGUGUUUAUGCUCGAGCAGAAAUCGCAAGCGUUUCCUAAGUUCAAGGCAUUCUGUGCUUGGUUGGAGAAUGUUCACGGUAAACGCAUUGGUUGUUUGUUUACUGAUCGAGGCGGGGAGUUCACUUCUCAGCAGUUUGAAGCUUUCCUGACUGAGAAGGGAAUCCAGCAUGACUUGUCAACGCCUAGAUCGCCAUGGAUGAAUGGGCUUGCGGAGCGAGCAAAUCAAACGUUGCUGCAAGGAAUGAAAACAUUGUUGCAUGAUGCCAAUCUCCCUGAUAAGUUUUGGGGGGAGGCUCUGUCGAAUUUUGUUUACACUUUUAAUCGCAGAUUGUCAUCACCUAUUGGUUGUACUCCCUAUGAGAAGAUGUUUGGUAAGAAACCCAACAUCAAACACAUGAGAAUCUUUGGUUCUGACAUGUGGGUACACACCCCACAGAGCAACAAGCUUGGGAAGCGUGGGGCACAUGGUUUGUUCAUGGGGUACGAAAAAGGUGCAUACAGGGUAUGGAUGACCAACUCUAAGUCCAUUAAGUUCACAAAGAGUGUUGAGUACAAUCCUAAGUGGGGGGAAAAUGUGGGAAUUUUCCAGAGUUACCCAGAGGAGGAUGAAGGUGAUGUCAAAGAAGCAGCUAAAGCUGAGGAAGCUGCUGAGGAUGAUGAUGACGAUGAUGAUCAGAGUUCGGAUUCCAGUUCAGUGGGCGGCGCUGCUGCUGGUGUCAGUGACAGUGAUGACACAGCAGACUACAAGAGCGCAAAGGCCUCAGUCAGACCAUCUGAUGCGUCUGACAAUGAACUGGAAGAACCACUGUUCACCAUUGGUCACUUUUCUCCUAAGAAGGAGGAGAUGAGUCCAGAAGACUUGCGUCUAGUACGCAGAUCUGAAAGAGCCACCAAGGGCAGACCUCCAAAGAGAUUUGCUGAUGAGUUUGCUAAGACAGCAACUGCUGUUCUUAGUAGCUCAGAGAAGGUGUGGGAACCUUCAAGCUUCAAAGAGGUUCAGGAGUUAACCUCUAAAGAUGCUGAGCCUUGGCUUAAUGCCAUGAAGGCUGAAGUUGAUUCCUUGAAUAGGAACCAAACUUGGGAACUGGUACCGGUAGUCCCAGGGAUGAGACUGGUUGGCAGCAAAUGGGUCUUCAAGGCCAAGACAGACCAGAAUGGCAAGGUUGUCAGACACAAAGCCAGAUUGGUUGCCAGAGGUUUUUCACAGGUACCAGGACAGGAUUACCACGAGACCUACUCACCCACAGUCAAAUAUGAGAGCAUUCGGCUGAUGCUCAAGAUAGCUGCGGAGGAGAAACUGCAUGUUUCCCAUCAUGACAUUAAUACAGCUUUUUUGUACGGGAUUUUGGAGGAGGAGCUGUUUAUGCUUCCACCUGAUGGGAUGCAGAUACAGAAGGGAAUGGUCUGUAAACUGCGGAAAUCCUUAUAUGGUCUCAAGCAGAGUGCCAGGUGUUGGAACACAAAACUCACUGAGACGUUGCUUUCUCUAGGUUUUCACCAGGGCAAAGCUGAUCCAUGUGUGUUUGUCAAGGAGGAGGGGCAAAACAAACUGUAUUGUUUAUGUUUUGUUGAUGAUCUUCUGAUGUUUUGGAAGAAUCAGGCUUUCUACCAAAGCACCCUAGCUCAGCUGAAGGAGCACUUUGACAUGAAGGAUCUUGGUGAGGUAUCCAACUAUCUUUCUCUGCAGGUGGAGAGGGACCAAGCAGGUAAUUUUCUGGUACACCAAACACAGAAAAUUGCUGAUGUAUUAACCAGGUUGAAUUUGGUUGAUGCAAACCCAGCAGACACACCGAUGGUGACAGGUUACCAGGUAGAUAGUACUGCUGAAGCGUUUUCUGACACUACGCUGUACAGAUGCAUUCUAGGCAAGUUGAAUUUCAUUGCUAGAUGCUCAAGACCUGACAUAGCUGUAAGCUGUAACCUGCUUAGCAGACAUGCCAACAAUCCUACUGUUCAGGAUUGGAAAGCUCUGAAGCGCAUAGCCCGCUAUUUGAAAGGGACUUUGCACUACAGGCUGAGGUUCACCAGUCAGAAGACUGGAGGUCUUGAAAUCUUUGCAGAUGCAAGUUUUGGAAGUGACACCACGGAUGGUACAAGCACUUCUGGAGUAUGCUACAUGUACAACCACUGCCUGUUUGACUGGUUGUGCAAGAAGCAGACGACAGUGAGCCUAAGUUCCUGUGAAGCAGAACUCAAUGCUCUGUCAUUUUCACUCAUGGAUUGUGAAUGGUUGAUGCAACUGUUUAAGGACAUCAGAGUUUCUGUGAAAUGUCCUGUACAAGUGUAUCAAGACAAUAGAUCGUGUUUGGCUUUGCUGAACUCAGAGAGUUGCAAGCAAAGGACCAAGUACUUGCAGAUUAAGCUACAUCGUGCAAGAGAGUGUAUUCAGAAAGGACUCAUUCAGGUGUCCUACAUGCCAGGAAAUGAAAUUCCUGCUGAUCUGUUGUCUAAGGUUGUUAACAGAGAACAACUUAAGGUUUACGUACAAAGGUUGCAAUUGGGUUGAACCACAGGUACUACAGGUUACACGGAAAGGGGGAGGAUGUUAGGAUAUUUCCGUUCCACCUUAAAAGGGAGCAGGCUUUGUGAGUCAGAGUCUGCGUAUUUCCUGUUCACAGGAUGUUUAUGUUUUCUGUUGCUUUCAUUUUCUCUCUGGUGUCGCAGACACUAAAUCAGCAGGCAGUCAUGUUUUUCUGUGUUCUGAUCAACGCUGAAUAAACUUGUAAAUAAUG
RNAcentral lists this long non-coding RNA (2734 nucleotides) under Podarcis lilfordi (Lilford's wall lizard). The record is from RNAcentral. Lineage: Eukaryota; Metazoa; Chordata; Lepidosauria; Squamata; Lacertidae.